UCCCCUGUAGCUCAAUUGGCAGAGCAGCCGGCUGUUAACCGGCAGCCGGCUGUUAACCGGCAGGUUACUGGUUCGAGUCCAGUCGGGAGAG
Molecule: transfer RNA, 91 nt
Filed under: Streptomyces aurantiacus JA 4570
Lineage: Bacteria; Bacillati; Actinomycetota; Actinomycetes; Kitasatosporales; Streptomycetaceae
Rfam family: tRNA
About the family: Transfer RNA (tRNA) molecules are approximately 80 nucleotides in length.
Source: Rfam by way of RNAcentral